This is a long non-coding RNA of Populus nigra (black poplar), 1953 nucleotides long. RefSeq lists it as uncharacterized. The record is from RefSeq and is a predicted model, not a curated record. Lineage: Eukaryota; Viridiplantae; Streptophyta; Magnoliopsida; Malpighiales; Salicaceae. The transcript is spliced from 3 exons.
GUUGAUAUGUAGUUUUUCCUAAACUAUUUGAGUCCACAGUUGACCCUUAGCAGUUGAUGCACUGUUGUGUCCCUGUGUAAGAAGUAGACAGCACGUUCGUGGUCACUGGUGGAUUGAGCUUCGUGGGAUCCGCCUUGUGUCUGAAGCUGGUCCGUCGAGGUGCGAGCCUUUGAUUUCUGGCCUACUUCUCCAUGGUCUGAUGACCUCAAUAGCCAUGGAGUUCACUGCAUUCAAGGACAAGUCGCUUGGAUUUUUGUAUGUCUUGCAACCUGCUAAGCUCCCAAGAUUGUGAUGAUACACGGGAUCUUAAUCGAAAACAAGAUGUUGAUAAAGCCUUACGUGGGGCCGAUUGUGUUUUCCACCUUGCUUCUUAUGGCAUGUUGGGGAAAGAAAUGCUCCGGUUUAUGUGGGUACAUAUAAUGUUGUAUUUGGUGGAAAGGAGAUUGUGAAUGGCAACGAGAGCUUACCUUACUUGCCUAUUGAUGACCAUGUUGAUCCAUACCGGCAUAGCAAAUCAAUCGCAUAAAACAAUUGCUUCUGAAGCAGAAUGCUCGUCCUUCAAGCGAGUAAAUGAUUCUCAAGAUUCCUCAUGUCCCAUGGUCCCUGUGAUUCUAUUGUUAUGCAUUUCUCUAUUUUUCUGGGAUGAAGAGAACUGCUCGGAAAAAUGGAGUAAAGCUAAUUAGUCUUUCUUCGUUGGUAGCAUCUGACAAUGUUGAGCUAGAAAAGGGGGAUGAUUUAGAACUUGAAAGGCAUUCAGCCGUAACUAUCUAGUUUUCAUAAUAGGAAAAUAGUUUUAUGGGCUGUAUAGGAAGAACAAUGGAAAACAUCCUUCUACAUAUGUGAUUCGCCCUGCUGCUAUCUAUGGACUGGGCGAAGAAAGGCGCUUUCCAAGGAUCAUAUCCUUUGCCAAGUUGGGUCUUCUGCCAUCCAAAGUUGGUAAUGUAAAUGUGAAAACAGACUGGUUUUAUGUGGAUAACCUUGCUUGUACUAAUAUUGGCAGGCAUGGGACUUUUGAAUGACGUUCCCAAUAAUGGAGGGCAUCCAGUAGCCGCUGGCCAGCCAUAUUUUAAUCCUGAAUAAAAAGUUGACAAUAUGAGAUGAAUUGGCUUCAAUACAUAGAAUGAUGUUUUCGGUGGAAAUGGAUUAAGGAACUAACCUGCUACCUUAUCAGGGUCUCCGAUCAACAGUUUUGAAUUCCUUCAGCCACUGCUUAGAAGGAUGGGUUAUGAUGUACCAAAGGAUAGUUUAUCUGUUCCACAUGCUCUUAUGCUGGAAUGAUUUUCUGGGCUAUCUAUAUAGUCUUAUACCUGUGGUUGAACCAACGGUGGCUUCCUCAGCCAUUGAUAUUUCCUGCUGAAGUGUACAUGGUAGUUUCAAAAUAUCGUAUUUUCUGCUCGACGUUCUUGCUGGUUGCAUGCCUGGAAAUCAAGUCAAAGAGGCUGCAAAUUAUGCACAAUUAUACUGCAGAAAAAAAGGUUGGAGUGACCCACUACUUCUCGUUCCUGAAAGCCAUGGCUGCCACUAUCUCAUACUGGCAGGAGAGGAAAAGGAAGACAUUGGAUCGACCUACCAUAUAUGCAUGGCUCUAUGUUGUGAUUGGAAUGAUUCCAUUUUUCGGUACUGCUACUUGCCAGACAUAGGACCGGGGCCACUUUUAGGAGACACAGGGCAGUGUUUGUUUUUUCUAUGGCAGCCCAUAUGGGUGAGGCUUUAUAUGCAUGGCAAAUGACAAAAAGGCUGGAUCCUGCAAAUGCAAGAGCAUGGUUUUGGCAAACAUUUGCCAUCGGAUUCUUUUCAUUGCCUUUUCUGUUGAAGAGAGCCGAGAGUUAAAAUCUUGGCAUCAACCAAUGUACUCCUGUACUGUUUGUUUCAUUUUAAAACGACCUUUUUUCCCUUUUGUGGGAAAAUGUCGAGCCAAGCUCUAAGAUGUUAGGCCUAGGCCUAUUAGUUCGA